CAGUCGCCGCGGUAAUACAGAGGGUGCGAGCGUUAAUCGGAUUUACUGGGCGUAAAGCGUGCGUAGGCGGCUUCUUAAGUCGGAUGUGAAAUCCCUGAGCUUAACUUAGGAAUUGCAUUCGAUACUGGGAAGCUAGAGUAUGGGAGAGGAUGGUAGAAUUCCAGGUGUAGCGGUAAAAUGCGUAGAGAUCUGGAGGAAUACCGAUGGCGAAGGCAGCCAUCUGGCCUAAUACUGACGCUGAGGUACGAAAGCAUGGGGAGCAAACAGGAUUAGAUACCCGCGUAGUCCCUGUCUCUUAUAA
Molecule: ribosomal RNA, 301 nt
Filed under: uncultured bacterium
Lineage: Bacteria
Description: partial 16S ribosomal RNA
Rfam family: Bacterial small subunit ribosomal RNA
Source: RNAcentral